CGGUAACAGCGCACUUCGGAUGCUGACGAGUGGCGAACGGGUGAGUAAUACAUCGGAACGUGCCCGAUCGUGGGGGAUAACGAGGCGAAAGCUUUGCUAAUACCGCAUACGAUCUACGGAUGAAAGCGGGGGAUCUUCGGACCUCGCGCGGACGGAGCGGCCGAUGGCAGAUUAGGUAGUUGGUGGGAUAAAAGCUUACCAAGCCGACGAUCUGUAGCUGGUCUGAGAGGAUGAUCAGCCACACUGGGACUGAGACACGGCCCAGACUCCUACGGGAGGCAGCAGUGGGGAAUUUUGGACAAUGGGCGAAAGCCUGAUCCAGCCAUGCCGCGUGCAGGAUGAAGGCCUUCGGGUUGUAAACUGCUUUUGUACGGAACGAAAAGCCUCUUUCUAAUAAAGAGGGGUCAUGACGGUACCGUAAGAAUAAGCACCGGCUAACUACGUGCCAGCAGCCGCGGUAAUACGUAGGGUGCAAGCGUUAAUCGGAAUUACUGGGCGUAAAGCGUGCGCAGGCGGUUUUGUAAGACAGAGGUGAAAUCCCCGGGCUCAACCUGGGAACUGCCUUUGUGACUGCAAGGCUGGAGUGCGGCAGAGGGGGAUGGAAUUCCGCGUGUAGCAGUGAAAUGCGUAGAUAUGCGGAGGAACACCGAUGGCGAAGGCAAUCCCCUGGGCCUGCACUGACGCUCAUGCACGAAAGCGU
Molecule: ribosomal RNA, 700 nt
Filed under: Diaphorobacter nitroreducens
Lineage: Bacteria; Pseudomonadati; Pseudomonadota; Betaproteobacteria; Burkholderiales; Comamonadaceae
Description: bacterial SSU rRNA
Rfam family: Bacterial small subunit ribosomal RNA
Source: RNAcentral